AGCUCCAAUAGCGUAUAUUAAAGUUGUUGCAGUUAAAAAGCUCGUAGUUGGAUUUCUGGCUUCGAAGCGCCGGUCCGCGCGUAACCCGCGUGUUGCACUCGUGUUGCUUCAGGCCAUCCUCACGGAGACCGCGUCCUGGUAUUCAGUUAUCGGGGCGCGUGGACCCGUGUCAUUUACUGUGAAAAAAUUAGAGUGUUCAAAGCAGGCGCAUCCGCUCUGAAUACAUUAGCAUGGAAUAAUAAGAUAGGACUUUGGUGUCUAUUUUGUUGGUUUGCACACCGAGGUAAUGAUUAAUAGGGAUAGUUGGGGGUAUUCAUAUUCAAUUGUCAGAGGUGAAAUUCUUGGAUUUGUGGAAGACGAACUACUGCGAAAGCAUUUACCAAGGAUGUUUUCAUUAAUC
RNAcentral lists this ribosomal RNA (400 nucleotides) under phytoplankton environmental sample. RNAcentral describes it as "partial small subunit ribosomal RNA". It matches the Rfam family "Eukaryotic small subunit ribosomal RNA", at positions 587 to 978 of the family's 1831-position model. The record is from RNAcentral.